Molecule: long non-coding RNA, 496 nt
Organism: Bactrocera oleae (olive fruit fly)
Lineage: Eukaryota; Metazoa; Arthropoda; Insecta; Diptera; Tephritidae
Source: RefSeq, a predicted model, not a curated record
CACAGACUAAAAAAUUUAUCUGCGAAAUAUGGAUAAGAGAAAUACGAAUGACAUUUCAAGCAAACAGUGUUGUAGUCUCCACAGAACUUCAGUUUAAAAGGUAAAAAGUUUCCAUUGUUAACCCUACACAGUAUGUGGGAGACCAACAACAAACAAUUUUUACACAAGUACAUUGAUGUCCGUCGAGGAAAAUUAUUCCAAACUUCAGUGAUUGAAAUUAAUAUUUUUAUUCUUCGUUAAUAAUGGCACUAUUAGUCCCUGCAGCAUGUCAAGACUGUUUCCAUCCGGUUGAACUGUUUCUAUUGUACCGUCAACUGUCCUAACUUGGAGAUAACCAAUAUCGUUAAUACCAAUGACAGUCGCCUCUUGUUGGCUUCCGAACUUGUCGCAUAUAUUUACCUUUUGUAAACUAUAAAAAAUUAAGUAUGAUAUAUAUUAAUACAAAAAAGUAUAGUGCAAAUAAUACUUAUGUAGCCAAUGUUCGUAAUAAAGAUCA